UUCUUUACAAUGCAAAUUUGACUCACCGUGAUCCCGGUUUACACCUCGCUUUCUCUCGGAACCCGACUGGUGAGCGGUCUGGUGUUGAUGAUCACAAGAAACAACACCAUACAAGAUACUAGAGAAAACACAGAGGAUGGAGAUGAAACAAAAUAUGAUAUAUUAUAUAUUGUUAUAUUUUAUGAGAAUAAAAUGAAUUUUAUAUGCUGAUUUUAUGUAACGAAGAGAAAGAUGAGGAUUCAAGUUUUAUUAUUGUGUGGUUCAGUGGUUGGCUUUUGCCAUUUCUUUACGUACCUUGAAAUAAUAUAUGAGUUUGGAUAUUCUAUAUUAGAUUUCUCUUCUACGUGUUUUUUCUAAAAAAAAAUGAUACAAGGAAUAUUAGAUCAUAGUCUUUCAACGAAUAAAUGACGUAUAUUUUAAAUGGUUAAACUUCGUUUUGCUUGUAACGGGCUGGUAUAGUAUAAUAAAA
RNAcentral lists this long non-coding RNA (469 nucleotides) under Cucumis sativus (cucumber). RNAcentral describes it as "long non-coding RNA (CSAT_LNC000901)". The record is from RNAcentral. Lineage: Eukaryota; Viridiplantae; Streptophyta; Magnoliopsida; Cucurbitales; Cucurbitaceae.